This 423-nucleotide ribosomal RNA is filed under the name uncultured bacterium. Its description in RNAcentral is "bacterial SSU rRNA". It matches the Rfam family "Bacterial small subunit ribosomal RNA", at positions 355 to 775 of the family's 1533-position model. The record is from RNAcentral.
UGAGGAAUAUUGGUCAAUGGAGGAAACUCUGAACCAGCCAUGCCGCGUGGAGGAUGAAGGUCCUCUGGAUUGUAAACUCCUUUUAUAAAAGAAGAAACCCCAGUAUUCUUACUGGGUUGACGGUACUUUAUGAAUAAGCACCGGCUAACUCCGUGCCAGCAGCCGCGGUAAUACGGAGGGUGCAAGCGUUAUCCGGAUUCACUGGGUUUAAAGGGAGCGUAGGUGGGUUGGUAAGUCAGUGGUGAAAUCUCCGAGCUUAACUUGGAAACUGCCAUUGAUACUAUCAAUCUUGAAUACUGUGGAGGUAAGCGGAAUAUAUCAUGUAGCGGUGAAAUGCUUAGAUAUGAUAUAGAACACCAAUAGCGAAGGCAGCUUACUACGCAGUUAUUGACACUGAGGCUCGAAAGCGUGGGGAUCAAACAG